GGAGGCCUCCAUCUCAAAACAACGUGUUUUUAGAGAACUCAAGGGCUGUGAAAAGAGCAGGCCCUCACCAGCUGCACGGCGGUGGUGACCGGCUCCAUCUUGCUGUCUCUCCCAAUCAUACAACAUCUCCCCUUGAAGGCUCUGCCCAGGCACAGACUCCCACCUUUCAAGAUGUCUGGAUCAGUGCAGGACCUCCUUCUUGGCCACAUCGCUCUCCUUGGACUGGUUCAAGUGAUUCUCCCACCUCAGCCUCCCAAGUAGGAUUACAGUGUUGACUCACCUGUGGAGUGGUCUGACCCUGAAUGCCCGGGGUUGUGGCCACUGAGUGAACGGGCUGUGCUAAGGGGAAUUGCCACCUUGUGAACCCUGUGUAGUUACGGCUUUUCUGAUUAAGUAUCAAUAAAAGUCUGACCUUGUGAAAAAAGCAAAUGUGAGUGGCCCUGCUUAUGUUUCACCCUGCGUUGCUCAGUGAUAGUUCUGCAAAGUUGCAGCAAACAUGGAAUCAUCUAAUUAUCGUGAGUGUUGGUUCCUUAUUUAAUAAUGUCUAGUUGAUUCAUUAACAUGGAAUUCAUGGCCAGUACCUCUGUCACUCAUGCCUGACUGAAGUUUAUCAGCACGUCUUUUUCUCCCUUAGGCACAUGACAGCUUUCUUGCAAUCAAGAAACUACGUGUGG
Molecule: non-coding RNA, 674 nt
Filed under: Pongo abelii (Sumatran orangutan)
Lineage: Eukaryota; Metazoa; Chordata; Mammalia; Primates; Hominidae
Source: RNAcentral